GAUGAACGCUAGCUACAGGCUUAACACAUGCAAGUCGAGGGGCAGCAUUUCAGUUUGCUUGCAAACUGGAGAUGGCGACCGGCGCACGGGUGAGUAACACGUAUCCAACCUGCCGAUAACUCGGGGAUAGCCUUUCGAAAGAAAGAUUAAUACCCGAUGGUAUAAUCAGACCGCAUGGUCUUGUUAUUAAAGAAUUUCGGUUAUCGAUGGGGAUGCGUUCCAUUAGGCAGUUGGUGGGGUAACGGCUCACCAAACCUUCGAUGGAUAGGGGUUCUGAGAGGAAGGUCCCCCACAUUGGAACUGAGACACGGUCCAAACUCCUACGGGAGGCAGCAGUGAGGAAUAUUGGUCAAUGGGCGCAGGCCUGAACCAGCCAAGUAGCGUGAAGGAUGACUGCCCUAUGGGUUGUAAACUUCUUUUAUAUGGGAAUAAAGUUUUCCACGUGUGGAAUUUUGUAUGUACCGUAUGAAUAAGGAUCGGCUAACUCCGUGCCAGCAGCCGCGGUAAUACGGAGGAUCCGAGCGUUAUCCGGAUUUAUUGGGUUUAAAGGGAGCGUAGGUGGACAGUUAAGUCAGUUGUGAAAGUUUGCGGCUCAACCGUAAAAUUGCAGUUGAUACUGGCUGUCUUGAGUACAGUAGAGGUGGGCGGAAUUCGUGGUGUAGCGGUGAAAUGCUUAGAUAUCACGAAGAACUCCGAUUGCGAAGGCAGCUCACUGGACUGCAACUGACACUGAUGCUCGAAAGUGUGGGUAUCAAACAGGAUUAGAUACCCUGGUAGUCCACACAGUAAACGAUGAAUACUCGCUGUUUGCGAUAUACAGUAAGCGGCCAAGCGAAAGCAUUAAGUAUUCCACCUGGGGAGUACGCCGGCAACGGUGAAACUCAAAGGAAUUGACGGGGGCCCGCACAAGCGGAGGAACAUGUGGUUUAAUUCGAUGAUACGCGAGGAACCUUACCCGGGCUUAAAUUGCAUUUGAAUAUAUUGGAAACAGUAUAGCCGUAAGGCAAAUGUGAAGGUGCUGCAUGGUUGUCGUCAGCUCGUGCCGUGAGGUGUCGGCUUAAGUGCCAUAACGAGCGCAACCCUUAUCUUUAGUUACUAACAGGUCAUGUUGAGGACUCUAGAGAGACUGCCGUCGUAAGAUGUGAGGAAGGUGGGGAUGACGUCAAAUCAGCACGGCCCUUACGUCCGGGGCUACACACGUGUUACAAUGGGGGGUACAGAAGGCAGCUACCUGGUGACAGGAUGCUAAUCCCAAAAGCCUCUCUCAGUUCGGAUCGAAGUCUGCAACCCGACUUCGUGAAGCUGGAUUCGCUAGUAAUCGCGCAUCAGCCAUGGCGCGGUGAAUACGUUCCCGGGCCU
Molecule: ribosomal RNA, 1359 nt
Filed under: uncultured bacterium
Lineage: Bacteria
Description: bacterial SSU rRNA
Rfam family: Bacterial small subunit ribosomal RNA
Source: RNAcentral